UACAGAGGUCCCAAGCGUUGUUCGGAUUCACUGGGCGUAAAGGGUGCGUAGGUGGCCAGGUAAGUUUGGUGUGAAAGCUCGGAACUUAACUCCGAAAAGUCAUUGAAUACUAUCUGGCUGGAGGGUCGGAGGGGAGACUGGAAUUCUCGGUGUAGCAGUGAAAUGCGUAGAUAUCGAGAGGAACACCAGUGGCGAAGGCGAGUCUCUGGACGACUCCUGACACUGAGGCACGAAAGCUAGGGGAGCAAACAGG
Molecule: ribosomal RNA, 253 nt
Filed under: uncultured bacterium
Lineage: Bacteria
Description: partial 16S ribosomal RNA
Rfam family: Bacterial small subunit ribosomal RNA
Source: RNAcentral